ACGGGGCCCGCACAAGCGGUGGAGCAUGUGGUUAAUUCGACGCAACGCGAAGAACCUUACCAGGGCUUGACAUCCCUGACCGUCUAUGAAAGUAGGCUUUCUACCUUCGGGUAGACAGGGAGACAGGUGGUGCAUGGUUGUCGUCAGCUCGUGUCGUGAGAUGUUGGGUUAAGUCCCGCAACGAGCGCAACCCUUACGGUUAGUUGCCAGCGGGUUAUGCCGGGCACUCUAGCUGAACUGCCGUUGACAAAACGGAGGAAGUGGGGAUGACGUCAAAUCAUCAUGCCCUUUAUGUCCUGGGCUACACACGUGCUACAAUGGCCUGUACAGAGGGAAGCGAAAGGGUGACCUGGAGCGAAUCCCAAAAAGCAGGUCUCAGUUCGGAUUGCAGGCUGCAACCCGCCUGCAUGAAGUCGGAAUCGCUAGUAAUCGCAGGUCAGCAUACUGUGGUGAAUACGUUCCCGGGCCCU
RNAcentral lists this ribosomal RNA (470 nucleotides) under uncultured Desulfotomaculum sp. Its description in RNAcentral is "bacterial SSU rRNA". It matches the Rfam family "Bacterial small subunit ribosomal RNA", at positions 916 to 1381 of the family's 1533-position model. Lineage: Bacteria; Bacillati; Bacillota; Clostridia; Eubacteriales; Desulfotomaculaceae. The record is from RNAcentral.